GAUGAACGCUGGCGGCGUGCCUAAUACAUGCAAGUCGAGCGAACAGAUGAGGAGCUUGCUCCUCUGACGUUAGCGGCGGACGGGUGAGUAACACGUGGAUAACCUACCUAUAAGACUGGGAUAACUUCGGGAAACCGGAGCUAAUACCGGAUAAUAUAUUGAACCGCAUGGUUCAAUAGUGAAAGACGGUUUUGCUGUCACUUAUAGAUGGAUCCGCGCCGCAUUAGCUAGUUGGUAAGGUAACGGCUUACCAAGGCAACGAUGCGUAGCCGACCUGGGAGGGUGAUCGGCCACACUGGAACUGAGACACGGUCCAGACUCCUACGGGAGGCAGCAGUAGGGAAUCUUCCGCAAAGGGCGAAAGCCUGACGGAGCAACGCCGCGUGAGUGAUGAAGGUCUUCGGAUCGUAAAAAUCUGUUAUGAGGGAAGAACAAAUGUGUAAGUAACUAUGCACGUCUUGACGGUACCUAAUCAGAAAGCCACGGCUAACUACGUG
RNAcentral lists this ribosomal RNA (497 nucleotides) under uncultured bacterium. Its description in RNAcentral is "partial 16S ribosomal RNA". It matches the Rfam family "Bacterial small subunit ribosomal RNA", at positions 28 to 507 of the family's 1533-position model. The record is from RNAcentral.